Molecule: ribosomal RNA, 166 nt
Filed under: uncultured bacterium
Lineage: Bacteria
Description: partial 16S rRNA
Rfam family: Bacterial small subunit ribosomal RNA
Source: RNAcentral
UAGGGAAUCUUCGGCAAUGGGGGCGAACCCUGACCGAGCAACGCCGCGUGAGUGAAGAAGGUUUUCGGAUCGUAAAGCUCUGUUGUAAGAGAAGAACGUGUGUGAGAGUGGAAAGUUCACACAGUGACGGUAACUUACCAGAAAGGGACGGCUAACUACGUGCCAU